UCGAGAAUUUUUCUCAAUGGGGGAAACCCUGAAGGAGCGACGCCGCGUGGAGGAUGAAGGUUUUCGGAUUGUAAACUCCUGUCAUUGGGGAACAAUUCUGCGGGGAGUAACUGCCCCGCAGUUGAUAGUACCCGAAGAGGAAGAGACGGCUAACUCUGUGCCAGCAGCCGCGGUAAUACAGAGGUCUCAAGCGUUGUUCGGAUUCAUUGGGCGUAAAGGGUGCGUAGGCGGUGAUGUAAGUUGGAUGUGAAAUCCCGGAGCUUAACUCCGGAACUGCAUUCAAUACUGCGUUGCUAGAGUACUGGAGAGGAGAUUGGAAUUCACGGUGUAGCAGUGAAAUGCGUAGAUAUCGUGAGGAAGACCAGUGGCGAAGGCGAAUCUCUGGACAGUUACUGACGCUGAGGCACGAAGGCCAGGGGAGCAAACG
RNAcentral lists this ribosomal RNA (427 nucleotides) under uncultured bacterium. RNAcentral describes it as "bacterial SSU rRNA". It matches the Rfam family "Bacterial small subunit ribosomal RNA", at positions 355 to 774 of the family's 1533-position model. The record is from RNAcentral.